Rattus norvegicus (Norway rat) is the source of this 99-nucleotide small nuclear RNA. Lineage: Eukaryota; Metazoa; Chordata; Mammalia; Rodentia; Muridae. The record is from Ensembl.
GCUCGCUUCUGCCGUGCAUUAAACAUUGGAACAUAGAGAAGAUUAGUAUGGUCCCUGCACAAGGAUAGCGUGCAAACUCAUGAAGGAUUCCAUAAUAUA